GCCCAAACUGACCCAGCAAGUCAGGUGCAAGGCCAGGCAUGGGAAUUGCCUGUUCACAUACUUUGCCCAUUUUUCUAUGAGGUGAUUGUUCUUUUUGGUUUGUAGGUGCAUGGAUUUUCAGUAAACACUGAUUGAUUGAAGGAAUGAAUCCAGAACUCCUAGAAGAACAUAGACCAGGCUGGGCCAAGUCUAGGUGCCCCCAUCCCUAACCUCUCCAGGUUGGCAAUACACGCCUCCAGGGAAAAAACAAAAACAAAAACAAAAACCAGGCAGGAGGAAAAUAUCUCAUCGUGUUGCUCUGAGGAUCAAGUGACAUCACAUAUAGGAAAAUGCUGUGUCAACCAAAAGACAGUCUACUAAUGAUUAGCCAAUUCAAGUGGUAAGUAAAGGGGUUCCAGAACCUGGAGGUUCUUUGGUCUGGGCCUUCCUUGUGGAAGACUUUCAGGAGCAGAGUUGGUUUUAAGAGAACUUCUGACUCCUUCUCAAGCCCUGUGGCUGGUCCUUGGCACCUCGAGGGGGCUCUCUACUGAGAGCUCCUG
Molecule: long non-coding RNA, 539 nt
Filed under: Mustela putorius furo (domestic ferret)
Lineage: Eukaryota; Metazoa; Chordata; Mammalia; Carnivora; Mustelidae
Description: lncRNA (ENSMPUG00000027631.1)
Source: RNAcentral